RNAcentral lists this ribosomal RNA (408 nucleotides) under uncultured bacterium. RNAcentral describes it as "partial 16S ribosomal RNA". It matches the Rfam family "Bacterial small subunit ribosomal RNA", at positions 28 to 526 of the family's 1533-position model. The record is from RNAcentral.
GACGAACGCUGGCGGCGUGCUUAACACAUGCAAGUCGAACGAAGAGGCGAACGGGUGAGUAAAACGUGGGUACCAUGCCCUCCUCAUUGGGAUAAGCCAUGGAAACGGGGUCUAAUACCGCAUAUAGGGGGAAGGGCUCGCGGCCUGUCGGCUUGUUGGUGGGGUGGUGGCCUACCAAGGCGGUGACGGUUCGCGGGCCUGAGAGGGUGCCCGGCCACUGAGGGACUGAGAUACGUCCCAGGGUCCUACGGGGGGCAGCAGUGUCGGAUAUUGCACAAUGGGCGAAAGCCUAAUGCAGCGACGCCGAGUGGGGGAUGAAGGCUUUCGGGUUGUAAACCUCUUGCGCUAUCGAACGCGUAGGUGGAGUAGAAGCGCCGGCUUACUUCCGGCCAGCAGCCGCGGUUAUAC